This 293-nucleotide ribosomal RNA is filed under the name Staphylococcus aureus. Its description in RNAcentral is "partial 23S ribosomal RNA". It matches the Rfam family "Bacterial large subunit ribosomal RNA", at positions 1441 to 1729 of the family's 2925-position model. The record is from RNAcentral. Lineage: Bacteria; Bacillati; Bacillota; Bacilli; Caryophanales; Staphylococcaceae.
GUACCACCUAUAAUCGUUUUAAUCGAUGGGGGGACGCAGUAGGAUAGGCGAAGCGUGCGAUUGGAUUGCACGUCUAAGCAGUAAGGCUGAGUAUUAGGCAAAUCCGGUACUCGUUAAGGCUGAGCUGUGAUGGGGAGAAGACAUUGAGUCUUCGAGUCGUUGAUUUCACACUGCCGAGAAAAGCCUCUAGAUAGAAAAUAGGUGCCCGUACCGCAAACCGACACAGGUAGUCAAGAUGAGAAUUCUAAGGUGAGCGAGCGAACUCUCGUUAAGGAACUCGGCAAAAUGACCCC